AGAACGAACGCUGGCGGCAGGCUUAACACAUGCAAGUCGAACGCUCCGGCAACGGAGAGUGGCAGACGGGUGAGUAACGCGUGGGAACAUACCCUCCGGUUCGGAAUAACUCAGGGAAACUUGAGCUAAUACCGGAUACGGCUUAGCGGCGAAAGAUUGAUCGCCGGAGGAUUGGCCCGCGUUCGAUUAGCUAGUUGGUGAGGUAACGGCUCACCAAGGCGACGAUCGAUAGCUGGUCUGAGAGGAUGAUCAGCCACAUUGGGACUGAGACACGGCCCAAGCUCCUACGGGAGGCAGCAGUGGGGAAUAUUGGACAAUGGGCGCAAGCCUGAUCCAGCCAUGCCGCGUGAGUGAUGACGGCCUUAGGGUUGUAAAGCUCUUUCGCUCGGGACGAUAAUGACGGUACCGAGAUAAGAAGCCCCGGCUAACUUCGUGCCAGCAGCCGCGGUAAUACGAAGGGGGCUAGCGUUGUUCGGAAUUACUGGGCGUAAAGCGCGUGUAGGCGGGUCUUUAAGUCAGGGGUGAAAUGCCAAGGCUCAACCUUGGAACUGCCUUUGAUACUGGAGAUCUUGAGUCCGGGAGAGGUGAGUGGAACUGCGAGUGUAGAGGUGAAAUUCGUAGAUAUUCGCAAGAACACCAGUGGCGAAGGCGGCUCACUGGCCCGGAACUGACGCUGAGACGCGAAAGCGUGGGGAGCAAACAGGAUUAGAUACCCUGGUAGUCCACGCUGUAAACGAUGGAUGCUAGCCGUUGGGGAGCUUGCUCUUCAGUGGCGCAGCUAACGCUUUAAGCAUCCCGCCUGGGGAGUACGGUCGCAAGAUUAAA
Molecule: ribosomal RNA, 825 nt
Filed under: uncultured soil bacterium
Lineage: Bacteria
Description: bacterial SSU rRNA
Rfam family: Bacterial small subunit ribosomal RNA
Source: RNAcentral